UACAGCGUUUUGUGCUGCAUGUGCA
Molecule: non-coding RNA, 25 nt
Filed under: Rattus norvegicus (Norway rat)
Lineage: Eukaryota; Metazoa; Chordata; Mammalia; Rodentia; Muridae
Source: RNAcentral